CUCGUGGAUCAGCCUGAGCUCCUCCCUCAGAGCCGAGCGCAGCUUGACGCCUCGGACCAGAGGACCCGAAGUCUGAGCUGAAAGAUUUCGGCCGACCGGUUAGAAAGGAUCAUCUUCCACAGACACAGCAACGAGGAUGUGGGAGACACCCUCCCCUGAAGUCUCUCCUGGUGCUGAGAGCAGAAACAACUCGUCAAACUGCUGAUCAUCUACAUUUACUCUCACGCUGAACACAAGCCACCCAACCGUCUCACAGGCGAGCCUCAGUGAACCUCUGCAUUAGAAACAAGCCCAAACCGAAGAACCCAGUCCGCCCAGUCUGCCCAGUCCGGUCCUGCAGUGGGAACUGGAGCUCCGACUCAGACCUGUUGGAUCUGGUUCUACGCCGUCAGACCGCCUGCUUCCUGUUCUACUGGUUCUGCAGGUCCAGAAUGACCCCUUUGACCUCCACAUCCCCUGUGGAGGCCUCCUGCCCUUCCUCCUCCUCCUCCUCUUCCUCACCUCGCUGUGCGGGGGGA
This is a long non-coding RNA of Xiphophorus hellerii (green swordtail), 518 nucleotides long. RefSeq lists it as uncharacterized. The transcript is spliced from 3 exons. The record is from RefSeq and is a predicted model, not a curated record. Lineage: Eukaryota; Metazoa; Chordata; Actinopteri; Cyprinodontiformes; Poeciliidae.